GGGGCUGUAGCUCAGCUGGGAGAGCACCUGCUUUGCAAGCAGGGGGUCGUCGGUUCGAUCCCGUCCAGCUCCACCA
RNAcentral lists this transfer RNA (76 nucleotides) under Erythrobacter sp. RNAcentral describes it as "tRNA-Ala". It matches the Rfam family "tRNA". From Rfam's summary of the family: Transfer RNA (tRNA) molecules are approximately 80 nucleotides in length. Their secondary structure includes four short double-helical elements and three loops (D, anti-codon, and T loops). RNAcentral also lists the same sequence under 39 other names. The record is from RNAcentral. Lineage: Bacteria; Pseudomonadati; Pseudomonadota; Alphaproteobacteria; Sphingomonadales; Erythrobacteraceae.